RNAcentral lists this ribosomal RNA (428 nucleotides) under uncultured bacterium. Its description in RNAcentral is "bacterial SSU rRNA". It matches the Rfam family "Bacterial small subunit ribosomal RNA", at positions 354 to 796 of the family's 1533-position model. The record is from RNAcentral.
GUAGGGAAUAUUGGACAAUGGGGGCAACCCUGAUCCAGCGACGCCGCGUGAGUGAUGAAGGCCUUCGGGUCGUAAAGCUCUGUUGCAGGGGAAGAACACAAUGACGGUACCCUGCUAGAAAGGAUCGGCUAACUUCGUGCCAGCAGCCGCGGUAAGACGAGGGAUCCUAGCGUUGUUCGGAAUUAUUGGGCGUAAAGCGGGUGCAGGUGGCUUGGUAAGUCAGAUGUGAAAGCCUGGGGCUUAACCCCAGAAGUGCAUUUGAUACUGCUGAGCUUGAGUGCUGGAGAGGCUAUUAGAAUUCCUGGUGUAGUGGUGAAAUACGUAGAUAUCAGGAGGAAUACCGGAGGCGAAGGCGGAUAGCUGGCCAGACACUGACACUCAGACCCGAAAGCGUGGGGAUCAAACAGGAUUAGAAACCCCGGUAGUCC